Hypoxylon trugodes is the source of this 135-nucleotide non-coding RNA. The record is from the annotation of a RefSeq genome assembly. NCBI's taxonomy places the organism in Eukaryota, Fungi, Ascomycota, Sordariomycetes, Xylariales, Hypoxylaceae.
GCCCCUAUAGCUCAGUGGUAGAGGUAAGAAGCAGUCCGAAAUUGAUUGUGAAAAUGACGCUAACAUCCUCGAAGCGCGUCACUCGUAACUGUUUAAGGGAUGACGAGGUCCAUCGUUCAAUCCGGUGUGGGGGCA